RNAcentral lists this long non-coding RNA (422 nucleotides) under Androctonus crassicauda. The record is from RNAcentral. Lineage: Eukaryota; Metazoa; Arthropoda; Arachnida; Scorpiones; Buthidae.
UCCUUAAUGCAUUGAAUAUGGUUGGCGGUCUUUUAUAUCCGCUUUUCUUUUUUGUGUUCUUGAUGAGAUUCUUUAUUGUUCUAAAUUGUCCUAGGGGUCCGGGGACGGUGGUGUGGAGCUCUGGCUGCUCAUCGUGUGCUGACUGUUCAUGGCGGGGUGGUUUGGGUUGGGUGGUGGAGUUAUUCCGCUGUUUUCUGGCCACUUCUCUCGGGGGCUUGUCGAUAGUGCCUGGGUUGUAGCCAUGGUCUCGGGCUGUCUUUUUUGUGUUGUCUGUUUCAGCAUUGAAGUCCUCGUCCUCAGUGCAGUGGGUGGUGGCCCUGUUUACUGGUGAGUUUAUGGCAGAUCUUUUGUGCCUCCACUUAUUGUCGGACCAAUUAGGUACCUCCCUUUUUUUGCUUAUAGAGUCUCCCAUUGAACUUCAA